AGUGUUGAACCUGAUCAACGAAGUACUGGAUGUUGAUCCUGGUUACCUGUGUCUGCAUCAUUAUAUGAUGCAGGCCAACUGGCAUCAGUACAUUGAAUGUACGAGUAUACGAGUUGGAAUGCUAAACAUAACAUAGGCUUGAAAAGAUUCUGAAAGAUACACUUACCUUGGCUCUUCUCAACUCCUGAAUAACUUAACUCAUAAUAAAGCAAUAAGACAGAUACAAUAUAUGAAAAGUUUUAUAAAACGGUAAAAGCAACUUAGUUCGUUAAACAAAAAUGCAAUAACAAACUCAAUUUUACUCAUAUAACAAAGUAAUAUAGUUUCUGUGGGAGAUUCUCUAACCGACAACCACCANNNNNNNNNNNNNNNNNNNNNNNNNNNNNNNNNNNNNNNNNNNNNNNNNNNNNNNNNNNNNNNNNNNNNNNNNNNNNNNNNNNNNNNNNNNNNNAGAACUGUCCUAUACUUUGUCGUCAUAUAGAACGCUUAACUUAGUGGAUCCACUAGUCUAUGCUAAAAGCAUCUUAAGGAGUCAUCUAAAAAGUAUGAUCAUUUACUACCCAUGAUGGCUACAUGGUUUAUGGAGACUUGAGUUAAUAUGAACUCGCAUUCCCAUAUCGGUGCUUAAUACUACUCCCAAAAUAUACUUAGCUCAGAUGAUUUAAAAUCAAAACUUCUUUCUUUUGUUACAGAUAAUUACUCAAAACUUUACCUUAAAAGCUCUCUUGGAAAUCGAUGUUUCCCUUUCUUAUUCAAAUGUGAAAACAUUUAAAACUCUUAGGAAUACUUAGUUCCCUUAUAGCUUUUUGAGAAAUGAACUCAAAUAUUUACUCUUUGCUUAACUUGAAACUUAAGUCUUAAAACAAGGUUAAAACGUUUGUUAAAUACUUUUGAAAACUUUAUAAACUUUGUUUUGACUUGUUUCUUAACUUCUAGACUUGACUCUUAACUUCUCUUGACUUUGAUCUUAACUUUCCUUGAAUUGGAUUAUGGAUUCAAGGUUCAUGAUCUCAUGUUUAUGGAUGAUUUCAUGAUGUUUAGAUGUACCUUAGAGUGUUGGAAUCAACUAGAAAAUAUAGGUACAUUGCUAAGUAUUAAGUACUAAAAGGUGGGAAACGAAUGGUGAGAAUUGGCGUCCCUGGCGCUCUGAGAGGUGCGGGGCGCCAACCCUCAAACUUCAGAGAACAUGUUGGGGAGCUCUGGCUGGUACAUCGCCCCAAGGGGUAAACUUCAGAGACCCUUUUGGGGGAAGCUGGCUGGCGCGACACCCCACCCCCUUCCCCAUGUGUUUGACGACUUUUCUUGCUCGUUUUUCACCUCUAAACCCUCUAAAAUUCAAUGGUUAUUUCUCCAAACACUUAGAAUCAUUAAUACCCUCAAGAUACAAUAGAUUCAACUAAAAAUUACACCCGGAAACAUGAAUUAAAUCAUCAAGAAACUUCAACAACACAACCCACAAGAAUUCAACGAAACUUUCAAGAAUGUUCAUCAAGAACUCAAUUUCUAAACUUUCAAAGACUUAAAUUCGCUGAAUUGAAUCAUGGUUGGCGCGUGGGCAAACUAUCCCAAUGCUAUGUGAUCUCACAUACCUUGUAGGGAUCACCCCCGAUGAAAUCCACAAGCUAACCUCGACGAAAUCGACGAAUCUUGAUAGUUCUUCUCCUUUCUCCUUUUUUCUCCUCUUCUCUAAGCCCUAGCGUAAAAUUCACUUUUCUAAACUGACUAAAAUCUGAAUUUACCCCAAUUAAACUCCUAAAAAAUGAAUUAGAAUAAUUAGGUAAGGAAAACACUAAAUUAUCCUUCCAAAAAUCCGGAUUAGACUUUCCAUAAUCCAACAGCCCAACUUCCAAAGGGAAUAACUUACUCAUACGAACUCAGAAUCGCACAAACUCGGUGGCGUUGGAAAUAUCAUUCCAAGAGAUUUCCAACCAUAUCUUGAAGUACACCUAAAUCAUCCUGAGCUAGGAGCUAUGGUCGCUUGAAGUUGACUAAAACUCAAUUUUUCCUAACUUAAACAAAUUUCCAGACUUUCAUUGUUUCCAAAAAUGACUAUUUCCAAUUAUUAGCUUCUUCCUAGUUAUUUCAAAUUGCAAGAUGUUACAGUAAUCUGAAUGCUAAGUCAAGUUGUGACUAACCAGGUUGGGCAACAAAGAGGGGCUUGAAUGAAAGUGGCUGAUCAUACUUCGAGGAUCUGUGAGUUCUUGAGGAUGAAUCCUCCAAGCUUCACUGACUCAAGCACUAUUGAGGAUCCAAAGAGUUUUGUUGAGGAACAGCAAAAGGUGUUUGAGGUUAUGCAUGUUGUUGAUGUUGAGCGAGUGGAACUAGUUGCAUAUCAACUGAAGAGUGUUGGUAGGACUUGGUUUGAUCAGUGGAAGAAGAGUACGGUUGAGGAUGCACUGAUUUUGAGUAGGUUGUGUUCGAGAGUGCUUUCUUGGGGCGUUUCUUUCCUCGUGAACUGAGGGAAGCCAAGGUACGGUAAUUCCUCACCCUUAAGCAGGAUUCAUCGAGUGUUCAUGAGUACAGUUUAAAGUUCACCCAACUUUCCUGAUAUGCUCCAGAGAUGGUCACUGAUAUAAGGAGCAGGAUGAGUCUGUUUGUCACUGGAUUGUCUCGUCUGUCAAGCAAGGAGGCAAGGCAGCUAUGCUAAUAGGGGACAUGGACAUAGCGAGACUUAUGGUAUAUGUGCAGCAAGUUUAGGAAGAGAAGUUGAGGGAUAGAGAAGAAUUCAGAAACAAGAAAGCUAAGACAGGGAAUAAGUCUGGGCAGCAAAGGGGUAAUGUGAACCGUUCUUCCUUUCAACCUAAGCAAAAAGGACCUGCUCCAUCAUCUGCUAGUGCACCUGCACCAAAGAACAAAGGUGAGUAUAAUACUCAGAAUUUCAGAGCUAGACCUGCUCAGUCUCAAGGUAGUGUGGCACAAAGAGGUAAUUGGGUUCCUACAUGUGCUAAGUGUGGUAGGAACCAACCAGGUAAAUGUCGUGAUGGCUCCACUGGUUUUUUCAAGUGUGGUCAAGAGGGUCACUUCAUGAAAGAGUGCGCUAAGAACCGGCAAGGCAAUGGGAAUCAAGGCAAUAGAGCUCAAUCUUCAUCAGUUGCUCCACUAGACAUAGCUGCAUCUAGAGGAGCUACUUCAGGUACUGGCGGAGGAUCAAACCGUCUAUAUUCUAUCACUAGUCGUCUAGAGCAAGAGAAUUCUACAUAUGUUGUCACUGGUAUGAUCAAAGUCUUUACUCUUGAUGUUUAUGCUUUGCUAGACCUAGGAGAGAGUUUAUCUUUUGUGACUCCUGUUGGGGAGUCUAUUCUAGUUGAGUGAGUCUAUCGUAAUUGUACUAUUUCCGUCAAUCACAAGAGCGCCAUGGAUGAUUUAGUUGAGUUAGACAUGGUUGAUUUUGAUGUUAUUCUUGGCUGGCUACAUGCCUGUUAUGCCUCCAUUGAUUGUAGGACUCGAGUUGUCAAGUUUCAGUUUCCUAAUGAGCCAGUUAUAGAGUGAAGUAGUAGUUCAGCAGUGCCUAAGGGUCGUUUCAUUUCGUACCUUAAGGUCAGAAAGUUAGUUUCCAAGGGUUGUGUCUAUAACUUAGUCCAAGUUAAUAACUCUAGUGUCGAGACACCUCUUAUUGAGUCAGUUCCAAUUGUGAGUGAGUUUCCAGAAGUCUUUCCUGACGAUCUACCCGGAGUUCCUUCUGAGAGAGAAAUAGAUUUCGGUAUAGAUCUUCUUCCCGAUACUCAUCAUAUAUCUGUUAACUGCCAUAUAGAAUGGCUCCAGCAGAGUUAAAAGAGCUAAAACGAAUAGUUGAAAAGAUUCUCUUUUGAUAAGGGUUUUAUUGACCAAGUGUCUCACCUUGGGGCGCUCGGUCUUAUUUGUGAGGAAGAAAGAUGGGUUACUCUUAGAAUGUGUAUAGAUUACCGUCAGUUGAACAAAGUUACUAUCAAGAAUAAGUAUCCUCUUCCGAGAAUUGAUGAUCUCUUCGGUCAACUUCAGAGUGCCACUUGUUACUCUAAGAUAGACCUCAGAUAUGGCUACCAUCAGUUAAGAGUAAGGGAAUGUGAUAUUCCAAAGAUCGCAUUCAGGACCCGUUAUGGUCAUUAUGAGUUCCUAGUUAUGUCCUUUGGUUUGACUAAUGCGCCUGCAGCAUUCAUGGACCUUAUAAAUAGAGUAUUCAAGCCUUAUUUAGAUAUGUUUGUUACCGUGUUCAUUGAUGACAUACUAAUCUAUUUGAGGAAUGAGGAAGAUCAUGCUAGCUAUCUCAGAAUAGUUCUCCAGACUCUAAAGGAUAAGGAGUUGUAUGAUAAGUUCUCUAAAUGUGAGUUUUGGCUUGAGUCUGUGGCAUUCUUGGGUCACAUUGUUUACAGUGAUGGGAUUAGAGUUGACAGUCAGAGAAUAGAGGCAGUGCAGAAUUGGCCUAGACCCACAUCUCCAACUGAUAUUUGGAGUUUCUUGGGGUUGGUUGGAUAUUAUAGAAGGUUCAUAGAGGGGUUCUCAUCUAUUUCGUCCCCUUUGACCAUGUUGACUUAGAAAAUAGUGAAGUUUCAAUAGUCUGAAGUUUGUGAGAAAAGCUUUCAGGAAUUGAAAAGGAGGUUGACUACAGCCCUAGUAUUUACCUUAGCAGAAGGUACUCAAGGUUUUGUUGUGUAUUGUGAUGCUUCCAGAUUUGGUUUGGGUUGUGUGUUAAUGCAGAAUGAUAAAGUUAUAGCGUAUGCCUCCAGACAGCUAAAAGUUCACAAGAAGAAUUAUCCAACCCAUGACCUAGAAUUGGCUGUCGUAGUGUUCAUGUGGAUGUGUUCGCCGAUCACAAAAGUCUUCGGUAUGUGUUUAGUCAGAAAGAGAUUAAUCUCAGACAGAGGAGGUGGUUAGAGUUACUCAAGGAUUAUGACAUGAGUAUUCUUUAUCACCCAGGUAAGGCUAACGUUUUUGUUGAUGCAUUGAGUAGGAUAUUUAUGGGUAGUACCGCCCAUGUGGAGGAAGAAAAGAGAGAGUUAGCUAAAGAUGUACAUAGACCUGCACGAUUAGGAGUUCGCCUAAUGGAUUCCACUGAAGGAGGAGUAGUUGUGAUUAAUGGAGCUGAAUCAUCAUUAGUGUCUGAAGUUAAAGAAAAACAAGACCAAGACCCUAUUUUUCUUGAAUUGAAGGCAAGUGUUCAUAAGCAAAAAGUAAUGGCUUUUGAACAAGAGGGAGAUGGCGUUUUGAGGUAUCAAGGUAGGUUGUGUGUACCAAGGGUGGAUGAACUCUAAGAGAGGAUCAUGGAGAAAGCUCAUAGCUCCAAAUAUUCCAUUCAUCCAGGUUUCACAAAGAUGUAUCGUGACUUGAGAGAAGUUUAUUGGUGGAAUAGUAUGAAGAAAGGUAUCGCAGAGUUUGUUGCUAAGUAUCUGAAUUGCCAACAAGUUAAGGUAGAGCAUCAAAGGCCCAGUGGUAUGGCUCAGAAUAUAGAGAUUCCGGAAUAGAAGUGGGAGAUGAUCAAUAUGGACUUCAUUACUGGGUUGCCUCGGUCUCGCAGGAAACAUGAUUCUAUUUGGGUGAUUGUUGAUAGAAUGACAAAAUCAGCCCACUUUUUACCGGUAAAGACUACCCAUUCAGUAGAGGAUUAUGCCAAGUUGUAUCUUCAAGAGGUGGUUAGACUUCAUGGAGUUCCAGUUUUAAUUAUUUCAGAUAGAGGUACCCAAUUUACUGCAUAGUUUUGGAAGUCUUUCCAGAAAGGUUUGGGUUCGAAGGUGAACUUAAGUAUUGUUUUUCAUCCUCAGACAGAUGGUCAAGCAGAGCGCACUAUUCAUACUCUAGAAGAUAUGUUGAGGGCCUGUGUGAUUGAUUUCAAAGGUAACUGGGAUGAUCACCUACCUCUCAUUGAGUUUGCUUAUAACAAUAGUUACCACUCUAGCAUCCAGAUGGCUCCGUAUGAAGCUCUUUAUGGGAGAAGAUGCAGAUCUCCAAUUGGAUGGUUUGAGGUUGGUGAAGCUGGGUUGAUAGGACCAGACUUAGUUCAUCAAGCUAUGGAGAAAGUGAAAGUUAUUUAAGAGAGGUUGAAAACAACGCUGAGUCAUCAGAAAUCUUACAAUGAUGUUAGGAGAAGGGAGUUAGAGUUUGAGGUAUAUGAUUGGGUAUACUUGAAAGUUUCACCCAAGAAGGGUGUUAUGAGAUUUGGUAAAAAGGGGAAGCUUUGUCCCCGGUAUAUUGGCUCUUAUAGAAUAUACAAAAGGAUUGGUAAUGUAGCUUAUGAAUUGGAGCUACCACAUGAGUUAGUAGCGGUCCAUCUGGUAUUUCACAUUUCCAUGUUGAAGAAGUGCAUGGGAGAUCCUUCACUUAUCAUACCAACUGAAGCUAUUGGUAUCAAGGAUAGCUUGUCUUAUGAGGAGAUCACUGUUCAGAUUCUAGACCAUCAGGUUCGCAAGUUGAAGACCAAGGAAGUAGCAUCGGCCAAAGUUCUUUGGAGAAAUCAGUUUGUUAAGGGAGAUACUUGGGAAGCUGAGGAGGAUAUGAAGAAGAGGCAUCCACACCUCUUUGAUCCAGGAGAAAUUCCAGACCAAGGUACUAAUUCUUUUCUUAGUACUCUUUAAUUGAUAUGCUUAAUGUGUUAAAUUUGUUUGUUGGGUGUUUGAGUUGAAUAUUAGAUGUUACACCAUUAGUCUACUUAGAGUGAUCUCAUUUGAGGACGAAUGUUCCCAAGGGGGAGAUAUUGUAACACCUCCCUAAGUGAAAGAGUUAGAAUUAGAAAGAUUCAUUUUUGGAAAGAAUGAAAAAUCUAGAAAUUUGUUUAAGUGAUGUUAAGCUUGAGUUUUGGGUCAACUUCAAACGACCAUAACUCCUAUCUUAUGAUGAGUUAGGUGUGCUACUAGAUACCGUAGGAAAGAUCUUUGAAUUACCUUUCCAAUAACGCUGCUGAGUUUGCUCAAUUCUGAGUUCGUAUGAGGGAGAUAUGGCCAUUAAAAGUUGGGUUGUCUAGUUAAGGAAAGUCAAAACCGGAUUUUAGAAGGGUAUUAUGGUCUUUUCACUACACAAUUUAUUAAAUUUGUUUUUGGUAAUUAAGUUGGGGUCUCAACUGAUAGGAUUCAGUUUACGCUAUUGAAAACAAGUUAGGGUUUUGAGAUAAGAGAUAAGAAGAGGAGAAAGGAGGAGAAGAAGCAAGGAUUUGUCGCGUUCUUGAAGUUAAGCUCGUUGAUUUCGCCAAGGGUUGAUCCCUACGAGAUAUGUGAGAUCACAUAGCAUUGGGUUAGUUCACCCACGCGCCAAACAUGAUUAAAUUCGGCGUAUUUGUGUUCUUGAAAGAAAAGCUUAUGAGUUCUUGAUGAAUUUUGUUGAAGUUUCGUUUGAAUCUCGAUUGUGGAGUUUUUGGAGGAGUUCUUGAUGUGAUUUAACGAGAUUUAAGGUUGUUUUUUAGUUUAUUCUUGUAUAUUUUGGUUAUGUAUUCAAAUCUAAGCAUUUGGGGAAGGAACCAUUUGAAUCUAGAGGGUUUAGAGUUGAAAAAUGAGCAAGAAAGUUCGGGGAUUUCUGGGGAGGGGUCUGGGGAGUCGCGCCAGCCAGAGCUCCCCACUUUGUGCUCUGUAGUUUGAGCUCUGGGGCGCCGCGCCAGCCAGUGCGCUCCAUCCCUAGUUCUGAAGUUUUCCCUCUGGCUCCCCGCGCCACUCAGAAGUGUCUGGAAACUGUUUGCAGAAGUUGCUGGAAUACAAGUCUAAACAUGCUUUAAUACUAGGUGUGAAUAGAAUGAUUCACUUGUUGGUUAAGGUAAGAUAUUCAUGGCUGAAGGAAAUAACUAAUACUUGGCCACUGCUUGUUAAACAUUUGGAAGAGUAUACUCCUUUAAAUUGUUGCAAGGUGGUGACUUGGAAACUACCAUCUCGGGGAGGAUUUUUAAAGGUAAUACUGAUGGGUGUAGCAAAGGGAAUCCCGGUCUUAGUGCAGUGACAUUUUGUAUUAGGAAUGAUGAAGGUGAUCUGAUAAAUGCUGAAGCAAAGAAAAUAGGGGAAGCUUCAGCGAUCGAAGCUGGAAUGAAAGCAGUGAAACUGGGUCUAGAGUAUUGUGUUCAAAAGGGUUAUCUACCAUUAACUAAUUAAACUGAUUCAUUGAUUACUAAAAAUAUCAUAGAUGGAGUUUGGGACGUUCCUUGGAUUUUUACUAUGGAUGUGAAAAGCACAAAGGUUUCAAUGCACAGUAGGAACGUGGAGGUGAUUCACACAUUCAGAGAAAGGAAUAAACUAGCUGAUUUUUUUAACUAACAAUGCUAUUCAUUUUGCAGGUAUAGAUACAAAGAGAUAUUUUCACAUACAUGAGUUACCAAAAAUAGCACAAGCCAUCAUUCAAUUGGAAAAGAAUCAAAUCCCAAAUUUGAGAAUAACAAAAGAUGCAAAACAAAGGCUUUACCAGAAAUGCACAUAAUACAAGCAGAUACACAGGGCAUGACAUGAACAACAACAAGGAAACAAAUUAAGGACAAGGGUAUUACAUUACAACAACAAGAAAUUAAAAUCGCUGAUCUUAGAGCUCAAUAAAGUGUUGAGUACGUUCAUUUCUGUUAUAAGAUCGAGAUUAGGGUGCUUACCUCUCUAGUCAUAUAUGGUGGUAUUAGCUUCUUCGGAGCUCAUCCCGUGUAAGAUCGAUGAGAUACGGAGAAAGAUGCUCUAAAAUUGAUGAUGAGCUGAAAUGGACGUCUAAACGAAUCUUUCCAUAAAGUGAUUUGUGUGAGGUCGUCUUCAUCUUGCAGCUCUAUCUCAGAUAAUAUUUUCACUCAUCAAGCUGAAGAAGUCUUCCUAGGUGUUGAAUCAUGGCCUCAGUGAGAGCUUUUGACGUAUAAGUGAUUUCACUCUGAAAUCGGAGGCGUUGAAGAUUUCAGCUGGUCUAGUGGAUACGGUGAGGGCGAUCAAUUGGCCAACUUUCCAUCGGAGAAGAUGAAGCUUCAUCUGGAGAUUUGAGGAAAGUCAGUUGACCUUUUUGGGGAUUCAAUUUCCAAAUGGGUUUCACUGCUUUGUUAUUUAAUUUUGUUGUUUCAUUUCUCAGGUUUGGGCCUUUUGGGUCUUGAGUCUUGAC
This 9009-nucleotide long non-coding RNA is filed under the name Solanum tuberosum (potato). RNAcentral's name for it is "long non-coding RNA (STUB_LNC007614)". Lineage: Eukaryota; Viridiplantae; Streptophyta; Magnoliopsida; Solanales; Solanaceae. The record is from RNAcentral.